This is a long non-coding RNA of Larimichthys crocea (large yellow croaker), 872 nucleotides long. RefSeq lists it as uncharacterized. Lineage: Eukaryota; Metazoa; Chordata; Actinopteri; Sciaenidae. The record is from RefSeq and is a predicted model, not a curated record. The transcript has 2 exons.
UGUAAACAUGUUUAUUGGACAUUUGAACAUGGGGACUUAUGGAGACUCUGUAUUAAGGAAUUGCCAUAUUAGUUUAAGACGCCACGUCUCAAUAAGUUUUGGUUUUGAGCUCACUGACUUGUCGUUCCCACCAUUGAAGAAACCAAUCAGAACUUUGUUGAUGGGGUCUUAAGUGUAGUUGAAACGGACAGUCAAUAAGAGCAAUAACACCGUUUUAAAUAUCCUUUUUUUUUGGAUCGAUGUGAACAUCAUUAAGUCAACUGAUUUCAGCCACAGAUGAAACAUUGUCCUGUUUCUAUGGGAGCUGUCUGUCCUUUCAAAGAGGUCAUUGAAUAGCUCUCCCACCCAGGUCUCAAUCUGAUUUAUUUAUUGAACAGAGCUCCAAUCGCCAUCUUCGAAAACAGAAAGCAGCACCGAAGCUGUUCUUUAUGUUGGCUCGUGUCGAUUGGUCACCACAUCUUGUAGCUCGAUUUCUCUGCUUUGUCGAGACCGUGUAAUCAUGUUGUCAUCCCCCCCCCCGCCCACCCGCGUGGCCUUUAAAACAAAAGUCCACACAGAUGGGCUUGGACAAAAAAAUCCUAUCUAACACAGAGCUGAUACGUUUUAUCUGUUCGGUGACUCUGUGUCGAUCUAAAUCAGAUCUCGGACGCCGCAAAAUGUUUAUGUUGUUUCCUGAUUGAAAUCAGACAGCAAGGCCGAGCGUUCAUGAGGUUUACUCUUCCUUCAAUACAAAUAAAGGAACUUGUCGACAAAACAUAAACAAGGUCUUCAUUGUCAGAUGGUAAUUGUAGCCACAACAAAGUCCCCCUGUUGAUAAAUACCAAUCAGCUCAGACUUUAAAAAAGAUAAAUAAGAAAACAAAACAACAAAAA